GUGGGGAAUCUUGCGCAAUGGGCGAAAGCCUGACGCAGCCAUGCCGCGUGAAUGAUGAAGGUCUUAGGAUUGUAAAAUUCUUUCACCGGGGACGAUAAUGACGGUACCCGGAGAAGAAGCUCCGGCUAACUUCGUGCCAGCAGCCGCGGUAAUACGAAGGGGGCUAGCGUUGCUCGGAAUUACUGGGCGUAAAGGGCGCGUAGGCGGACAGCUUAGUCAGAGGUGAAAGCCCAGGGCUCAACCUUGGAAUUACCUUUGAUACUGGCUGUCUUGAGUUUGGGAGAGGUGAGUGGAACUCCGAGUGUAGAGGUGAAAUUCGUAGAUAUUCGGAAGAACACCAGUGGCGAAGGCGACUCACUGGCCCAAUACUGACGCUGAGGCGCGAAAGCGUGGGGAGCAAACAGGAUUAGAUACCCGAGUAGUCC
This 425-nucleotide ribosomal RNA is filed under the name uncultured bacterium. Its description in RNAcentral is "partial 16S ribosomal RNA". It matches the Rfam family "Bacterial small subunit ribosomal RNA", at positions 354 to 796 of the family's 1533-position model. The record is from RNAcentral.